UACGGAGGGUGCAAGCGUUAUCCGGAUUCAUUGGGCUUAAAGAGCGCGUAGGCGGCGACGUAAGUUGGAAGUGAAAUCCCAUCGGCUCAACCGUGGAAUCGCUCCCAGUACUGCGUUGCUCGAGGGAGAUAGGGGCCUGUGGAACUGCCGGUGGAGCGGUGAAAUGUGUUGAUAUCGGCGGGAACGCCAGUGGCGAAAGCGACAGGCUGGACCUUUUCUGACGCUGAGGCGCGAAAGCUAGGGGAGCAAACGGG
Molecule: ribosomal RNA, 254 nt
Filed under: uncultured bacterium
Lineage: Bacteria
Description: partial 16S ribosomal RNA
Rfam family: Bacterial small subunit ribosomal RNA
Source: RNAcentral